Long non-coding RNA from Ornithodoros turicata, 1902 nucleotides. RefSeq lists it as uncharacterized. The record is from RefSeq and is a predicted model, not a curated record. NCBI's taxonomy places the organism in Eukaryota, Metazoa, Arthropoda, Arachnida, Ixodida, Argasidae. The transcript has 2 exons.
AUGUCCAUCCGUUUCGUUUCAGGUUAAAGGGACCAUGAAAUGAUUUUAGAGAAUUCCGAGUGCUCUGCAGAAAACCGUUCGCAUGAUCCAUCACUAUCGUACACACAUCGACUUUUAACUGUAUUCAGUACAACGGGGGUGCAGUUGUCAGACAAAAAUAACAGGGCGUGACCGCUGGAUAUAUGCCUUCUAAGUGGGCUUACGUCAUCGCCAUCCAAUCCACUCAGCCAACUGUGAACGACGAGGAAGACACACCCCGCAGGACCACGUGUGUGCAUGGUUUCGGUUUGGACAACAACGGCGUUGUAUAUCUCCCGUCGAAAUCACUUAAAAUAUGACGAAAGGCAAAUUAUCAGCAAUGGAGGAAGAGGUUAUGCGACACACACAGCGUCUAUGGAUCGUUCGGUACGCAGCACCUCGUAAAAUGUCACGAAGGUAUGUUCCGACGACGAAAAAGUUCAAAGGGGAAAAAGUGCUCCGGUAACCAUGCUGACAGUCAACGGCUAUAUUACAUUUCUCGUAGGAUUCUGUGUAAACGGUUAGUUACAAUCUUGUCUUCAAGUCAAAUUAAAACAUAUUUCAUGAUGAAGUAUGCAAGCUUGUUUGAAAAUUUUACACUUUGCUCGCAAAAGCCCGUCCGCGAAUCGGCAACAUGUUCUGUGUAUGAUGUCACGGCCAGUUCGCCUCGGAGGCGGGCCGUAGCAGCCGCUGUUCACGCCUGUGGUAAAUAUAGAAUAUUUUCACUAUCUGUACGAUUUUCAACUUCAUGUUUCGCAGAGUGAAUGCUUUAUUACAGGGGAACUAAUUAAAAAUGUUUGUGGGCUUGUCAAGUAUCGUUUCAUGGUCCCUUUAAAGCAGCAUGGAAGGCUGAAAAAAAAAAAGAAAAAAAUUGGGAGAAGUAGAAACUGAGACUACGUAGAAGCUCGUUAGAUUUUUUAAUAAAAAGACUACGAAAGCUACAGAGAUAUCGUUUCUGCAGUUGAGUUAUAUAACCAGGCAGAUAUCUCCUCGAAGAGUGUAUGUAACUACAAGAUGACUACCUACCUAAAAUUCCUUAACAAACUAGUUAAUUAGGGGGAUUGUGGGCAAAAAAAUGCGGUCUGAUCGUAGCGGUCACUGGCACCUACUUGACGGACAAUGCUCCCGGGCCAACUCGUUCUGGUCAGCGCCCUGUCCCUUUGCCCCCAAAGAAUCAGCGAAUGGAAGGAACAGCCGAAUCAUGACCCAGCCAGUCUCUGUUCAAGAUAUCAAUUCCCUUCAUUUAUGAUUGACGUAUCUUUUGUUGUUACGUCAUCUUACGAAAUCCCAUUUGAACGUUUCACAAAGAAGCAAGGAAUGGGACGCCCAUUUUGGCAGUUCUGUGCCUGCAUGCUUAAUCACUUCCUUUGCUUGACGAUAGAUUUGCAUGACCACUUCCUCAGACCUUGCCCUCGUGACAAGGACAUCUAUGUAGAAUCCACGCUAUAGCAGCGGCACAGUGCUCCGAAAUUCUUCAUGUAGCGAGGACACUCCAAACAGUACCCGUGUCAUGCGCCAUUCCUCAACAUUGAACCUAGGAGCCUGAUCAGACAACGGUUCUGCUAUCCACAGGAACUGAAUGAAGUCACGAUCUUCUGGGCGUACGCUUUUUUGAAGGUAGGCCUUUUUCAUGUCGGCGACGAGCGCAACUUCGUACAGGCGAAAGUCGACGAAAAGCUGUACAAGUGUGUUAUUUAAGUUGGGACCAUUGUCCAAGAUGUCACUUAACGACGAUGAUGCAUCGAAUAUCAUGCGUAGCUUUGUGAUGACGCACAAGGAAUAGGCAUAAUAGGCCUUCAUACAGCGCUGGACUGAACAUCACUGGUUGUGAAUAAGCUCUUUGCAACUUUGCACUUGGGUCAUAAAAAAAUAUUUGGCACUUUC